GUGCUAUGCCACUGCCCAUGCCACGUGUCACGCCUCAAUCUUAUUGGGGCGGACAGGCACCCGUAGCCACAAAGGCCCGAGAUAACCAAUUCAUAACUUUGUACUUCCCAUGCAUGUAACUAUGACAACCAAAUAUUCUGACAAACAUGAUAUUAUGUAUCGAUGAAAAUAAUUACACAUGCAAGCACAAACUGAUAUAUACAAUACUUGGCCGUUGGGGCCACCAUGUCUAAAAAUAAGACACUACCAUAACUUUACAUUAGUCCACAAAGCCUCUAAAAGAUACAUAGACUUAGUUAGGGUCGGGACAAACCCCCC
RNAcentral lists this long non-coding RNA (318 nucleotides) under Capsicum annuum. RNAcentral's name for it is "long non-coding RNA (CANN_LNC020436)". The record is from RNAcentral. Lineage: Eukaryota; Viridiplantae; Streptophyta; Magnoliopsida; Solanales; Solanaceae.